AGAGUUUGAUCAUGGCUCAGGAUGAACGCUGGCGGUCUGCUUAACACAUGCAAGUCGAACGGAAUCUUUCGGGAUUUAGUGGCGGACGGGUGAGUAACGCGUGAGAAUCUGCCUUCAGGUUCGGGACAACAGUUGGAAACGGCUGCUAAUACCGGAUGUGCCGAGAGGUGAAAGCUUAAGUGCCUGGAGAUGAGCUCGCGUCUGAUUAGCUAGUAGGAGUGGUAACGGCACCCCUAGGCGACGAUCAGUAGCUGGUCUGAGAGGAUGAUCAGCCACACUGGGACUGAGACACGGCCCAGACUCCUACGGGAGGCAGCAGUGGGGAAUUUUCCGCAAUGGGCGCAAGCCUGACGGAGCAAGACCGCGUGAGGGAAAAAGGUCUGUGGAUUGUAAACCUCUUUUGAUCGGGAAGAAGACAGUGACGGUACCGAUCGAAUCAGCUCGACGGCUC
This 451-nucleotide ribosomal RNA is filed under the name uncultured cyanobacterium. RNAcentral's name for it is "bacterial SSU rRNA". It matches the Rfam family "Bacterial small subunit ribosomal RNA", at positions 8 to 499 of the family's 1533-position model. Lineage: Bacteria; Bacillati; Cyanobacteriota. The record is from RNAcentral.